GUGCUCGCUUUGGCAGCACAUACACUAAAAUUGGAACAAUAGAUUAGCAUGGCUCCUGCGCAAGGAUGAUGCACACAUUUGUGAAGUCCAUUUUUUUUUU
Molecule: small nuclear RNA, 100 nt
Organism: Heterocephalus glaber (naked mole-rat)
Lineage: Eukaryota; Metazoa; Chordata; Mammalia; Rodentia; Bathyergidae
Source: Ensembl